GUUCAAUAUUUAUCAGAUGGAUGGGCCGGUGCAAAGUGGGGCUGGGCAAGCACUUUUUUUGUGGAAAUAUUUGGAUGGGCAAAAACUUUUUUUUAAAUAUUUAGUGGAUGGACCAGAACAUAUUUUAUAGGAAAAAAUUUGCUAUCUAUUUUAUUGGUUUGUAGGAUAUUUCUUUUGCGGGCACUCAAAACAUGUCUCAACAAACUGGUAGCUUGGCUCAUUUCUGUCAAUUUUAAGGAUUUAAUUAAGGAACUAGAGGCUCUCAAGAGCCUGUGUCGCUCACCUUGGUCUAUGUGCAUAUUAAACAAUGGACACAGAUAAAUUCAUGACAUAAUUGUGUUUUGGUGAUGGUGAUGUGUUUGUAGAUCUUACUUUACUGAACAUUCUUGUUGCUACAAUUAUCUCUAUCUAUAAUGAACUUGGCCCAGUAAUUACAGUGGAAAAUAUUUUCUAAAAAUUUACAAAAAUUUACAAAAAUUUAUGAAAAAUGCUAAAAAUUAACUAUAAAGGGCAAUAACUCCUUAAGGGGUCAAUUGACAAUUUUGGUCAUUUGACUUAUUUGUAGAUCUUACUUUGCUGAACAUUAUUGCUGUUUACAGUUUAUCUCUAUCUAUUAUAAUAUUCAAGAUAAUAACCCAAAAACUGCAAAAUUUCCUUAAAAUUACUAAUUCUGGGGCAGCAACCCAACAACAGGGUGUCUGUUUUGUCUGAAAAUAUCAGGGCAGAUAGAGCUUGACCUGAUAGACUAUUUAACCCUGUCAGAUUUUCUCUAAAUGCUUCGGUUUUUGAGUUAUAAGCCAAAAACUGCAUUUUACCCCUAUGUUCUAUUUUUAGCCGUGGCAGCCAUUUUGGUUGGAUGGCCGGGUCACCAGACACAUUUUUUUCAAUUAGAUACCCCAAAGAUGAUUGUGGCCAAGUUUGGAUUAAUUUGGCCCAGUAGUUUCAUAGAAGAUUUUUGUAAAAGAUUUCUAAGAUUUACGAAAAAUGGUUAAAAACUGACUAUAAAGGUCAAUAACUCCUAAAGGGGUCAACUGACCAUUUUGGUCAUGUUGACUUAUUUGUAAAUCUAACUUUGCUGAACAUUAUUGCUGUUUACAGUUUAUCUCUAUCUAUAAUAAUAUUCAAG
This 1126-nucleotide long non-coding RNA is filed under the name Mytilus galloprovincialis (Mediterranean mussel). The record is from RNAcentral. Lineage: Eukaryota; Metazoa; Mollusca; Bivalvia; Mytilida; Mytilidae.